RNAcentral lists this ribosomal RNA (797 nucleotides) under uncultured bacterium. Its description in RNAcentral is "bacterial SSU rRNA". It matches the Rfam family "Bacterial small subunit ribosomal RNA", at positions 8 to 796 of the family's 1533-position model. The record is from RNAcentral.
AGAGUUUGAUCCUGGCUCAGGAUGAACGCUAGCGACAGGCUUAACACAUGCAAGUCGAGGGGCAGCACGGGAGUAGCAAUACAACUGGUGGCGACCGGCGCACGGGUGAGUAACGCGUAUGCAACCUACCUAUCAGAGGGGAAUAACCCGGCGAAAGUCGGACUAAUACCGCAUAAAACAGGGGCACCGCAUGGUGAUAUUUGUUAAAGAAAUUCGCUGAUAGAUGGGCAUGCGUUCCAUUAGGUAGUUGGUGAGGUAACGGCUCACCAAGCCGACGAUGGAUAGGGGAACUGAGAGGUUGGUCCCCCACACUGGUACUGAGACACGGACCAGACUCCUACGGGAGGCAGCAGUGAGGAAUAUUGGUCAAUGGGCGAGAGCCUGAACCAGCCAGGUCGCGUGAAGGAAGAAGGAUCUAUGGUUCGUAAACUUCUUUUGCAGGGGAAUAAAGUGCAGGACGUGUCCUGUUUUGUAUGUACCCUGAGAAUAAGGAUCGGCUAACUCCGUGCCAGCAGCCGCGGUAAUACGGAGGAUCCGAGCGUUAUCCGGAUUUAUUGGGUUUAAAGGGUGCGUAGGUGGUUUGAUAAGUCAGCGGUGAAAGUUUGCAGCUUAACUGUAAAAAUGCCGUUGAAACUGUCGGACUUGAGUGUAAAUGAGGUAGGCGGAAUGCGUGGUGUAGCGGUGAAAUGCAUAGAUAUCACGCAGAACUCCGAUUGCGAAGGCAGCUUACUAAGCUACAACUGACACUGAAGCACGAAAGCGUGGGGAUCAAACAGGAUUAGAUACCCUGGUAGUCG